UUGACCUCAAAUCAGGUAGGACUACCCGCUGAACUUAAGCAUAUCAAUAAGCGGAGGAAAAGAAACUAACAAGGAUUCCCCUAGUAACUGCGAGUGAAGCGGGAGAAGCUCAAAUUUGAAAUCUGGCAGUAUUUGAUUGCUGUCCGAGUUGUAAUCUAGAGAAGUGUUACCUGUGCUGGACCGUGUACAAGUCUCCUGGAAUGGGGCAUCAUAGAGGGUGAGAAUCCCGUCUUUGACAUGGACUACCUGUACGCUGUGGUGCGCUCUCAAAGAGUCGAGUUGUUUGGGAAUGCAGCUCAAAAC
Molecule: ribosomal RNA, 303 nt
Filed under: uncultured Inocybe
Lineage: Eukaryota; Fungi; Basidiomycota; Agaricomycetes; Agaricales; Cortinariaceae
Description: eukaryotic LSU rRNA
Rfam family: Eukaryotic large subunit ribosomal RNA
Source: RNAcentral